This 705-nucleotide long non-coding RNA is filed under the name Elaeis guineensis (African oil palm). RNAcentral describes it as "long non-coding RNA (EGUI_LNC004149)". The record is from RNAcentral. Lineage: Eukaryota; Viridiplantae; Streptophyta; Magnoliopsida; Arecales; Arecaceae.
CUUCCUCCUCCCCGCUCUCCAAUUGAUCCCUUCCUUUUUUAUCGCCAACAUCUCUCUUUCUCUCACCUUCCUCCUCUUUUCCUUCCUUCUCAUCUAUUUCUCCUCUAUAGUAGCUCUCUCCAUCUCUACCCAUUCCUCCAUCUCAUUCCCUUCCUCCUCAUAUUUCCUCUUCAUUCUCUUCCAAGCCAUCUAUCAGCUAUUCUCCUUUAGGCAGUGCUCUCCACUUUUGCCCAUUUUUGUUGGCAACCCAUCCUUCUCCCUCUCCUUCCUCCCCAUCCUCUUCUCCUCCUUGUCGUCCUACUCCAACUCAUUUCUUGUCGAUGGCACCUCUUUCCUUCUUCCUUUUCUUCUCUCCUCUGCAUCCUCCAAACCCAUCCAUGAUCUCUAGCUCUCUACGAUAUCCCCCUCCACAUCUACCUCUUCUCACUGGUAACCCAUCCUCUCUCUUCUCUUCCUUCUCAUCUAUUUUUUCUCCAUGGUGACUCCCUCCACCUCCACCUAUUCCUCCACCUCUUUCUUUCCUCCUCAUUUACUUAUCCUCCUCAUUCUUGCCAUCCUCCAAUUCACUCAUAAGCCAUCCGCCUCCAUGAUGGCUCCCUCUAUCUCUACCCCUUCUCGCGGUAAUUCAUCCUUUCCUCUUCCCUUCCUCCCCAUCCUCUUCUCCUCUUCCAAGCCAUUUCUCGCCUGCAGCCCUUCUUUCCUCCU